AUAUAAGCCACAUCUAGUAUUUCAAUUAAUAGGAUGAGCAGUGCAGAUGUCACGCCAAACAAAUUCAGCCAUAUUUCAGAAGAGGUCAGUAGAGUAAAAGAAAUUGGUAUGUCUGUGGUCUCACAAAAAAGCCAGGGCACUUUUCUUCAAGGCUUUUGUCGGGCAGAUGGUGGUUCCUGCACUGAUCUGCAACAGCUAUUGCUGAGGUUGAAGCCCUGCGUCUGUCUCAUAUACUUCCAGAACACCUGGCAGAGCAGCAUGAAGUACUUCAACAUUGCUGAGCUGCUCCAACAACUUUCCUAAUAGUGGAACUUGGUAACCUUGAAGGCCAAUCACUUCACUUGGUGCGUGCGUUAUUUCAGCGUGAAGUGAGUUACAUCACUGUUUCUGUCACAGCUAACUCAAACCCAACAGUUGUCAAAAGUUUAUUCUUCUGCCACUUCUUCAUGUGGUCAUUGCUCUGUGUGUUGGCUGGGAGAAAUGAUUACCAGUUCAGUUGUUCCCUCAUUUUACACUGUGUAACUUUAUUUUUUAUAAAACUAAACUGCUGACACAGGAUGCAAGCUGUAGGUCUCACUGAUGUGUCUCAACAUUUGGAUACAAGUUUAAAUAUGUACAUGUACUGUGGAUUAAUAACGUGCCUUGCGUUUUUAGUGACUUUUAAGUAUUUUUAAAACAUUGCUAUCUCUUUAUUGCGUAUGAAGGACUUGCUAAUACUAGUCAUCCUGGCAGACUUGGUUGUAGCAGGGUCUCUGAUUUUAAAUGUUUGAGAGAAGUGCAGAGUGGUGAGAGUCAGUUCUGAGGAUAUAAACAAAUAUGAUCAGAGAAAAUAUGAUCUCUGAGAAACGACUGACAGAACUGGGCUUGUUUAGACUGGGAAAUAUAACUGACAUGAGAGGGUAUACCAGUCUAAAAAGGAAUAAACUGUAUCACAGAAAGGAAGGUAAUAAAUUG
Molecule: long non-coding RNA, 954 nt
Filed under: Numida meleagris (helmeted guineafowl)
Lineage: Eukaryota; Metazoa; Chordata; Aves; Galliformes; Numididae
Description: lncRNA (ENSNMEG00000017864.1)
Source: RNAcentral